RNAcentral lists this long non-coding RNA (199 nucleotides) under Elaeis guineensis (African oil palm). RNAcentral's name for it is "long non-coding RNA (EGUI_LNC006550)". Lineage: Eukaryota; Viridiplantae; Streptophyta; Magnoliopsida; Arecales; Arecaceae. The record is from RNAcentral.
CGACCACUUUCUCUCAUCAAAAAUUUUAACUGACAAUAAUUGAUGCUUACGUAAUAAAAAAUAUUUGAUAAAUAUGAUAUGGCACAGAUGACGUGGUAUGAUGAAUGAAAAUUUUUAUUUACUAAUAUAGUAUGGUGAUGGUAUGGCAUCUGAUGUGAAUUUUUUUCGAAAAUAUCCAAUCAUCAAGAGAUAUGUCAGC